ACAUAUCUCCGGAGAGUGCUGUACGGUACAGCCGCCGAAGGGGCUAAAAGGAAACUUGAAAUCUCUCAGGCAAAAGGACGGGGCC
This 85-nucleotide non-coding RNA is filed under the name uncultured Dialister sp. RNAcentral's name for it is "Glycine riboswitch". It matches the Rfam family "Glycine riboswitch aptamer", at positions 9 to 86 of the family's 94-position model. From Rfam's summary of the family: This family represents the bacterial glycine riboswitch. Lineage: Bacteria; Bacillati; Bacillota; Negativicutes; Veillonellales; Veillonellaceae. The record is from RNAcentral.